This 497-nucleotide ribosomal RNA is filed under the name uncultured bacterium. RNAcentral describes it as "partial 16S ribosomal RNA". It matches the Rfam family "Bacterial small subunit ribosomal RNA", at positions 28 to 507 of the family's 1533-position model. The record is from RNAcentral.
GAUGAACGCUGGCGGCGUGCCUAAUACAUGCAAGUCGAGCGAACGGACGAGAAGCUUGCUUCUCUGAUGUUAGCGGCGGACGGGUGAGUAACACGUGGAUAACCUACCUAUAAGACUGGGAUAACUUCGGGAAACCGGAGCUAAUACCGGAUAAUAUUUUGAACCGCAUGGUUCAAAAGUGAAAGACGGUCUUGCUGUCACUUAUAGAUGGAUCCGCGCUGCAUUAGCUAGUUGGUAAGGUAACGGCUUACCAAGGCAACGAUGCGUAGCCGACCUGAGAGGGUGAUCGGCCACACUGGAACUGAGACACGGUCCAGACUCCUACGGGAGGCAGCAGUAGGGAAUCUUGCGCAAUGGGCGAAAGCCUGACGGAGCAACGCCGCGUGAGUGAUGAAGGUCUUCGGAUCGUAAAACACUGUUAUUAGGGAGGAACAGAUGUGUAAUUAAAUGUGGACGUCUUGACGGUACCUAAACAGAAAGCCACGGCUAACUACGUG